AGGAUCAUUAAAAGUAAUAUAUAUUCAUUUGAAUAUACAUUUCAAACCCCCUUGUCUAAACCACCUGUUGCUUCCGGCUGUUUGGGCUGUACAGUUAGCUGAAUAGCCUGGCCGGAAGGUUAACAUAAAAUAUUGUAUUUAGAGUCUUCUGAAUUUUUAAAAUAAAAGUUAAAACUUUCAACAACGGAUCUCUUGGUUCUCGCAUCGAUGAAGAACGCAGCGAAAUGCGAUAAGUAGUGUGAAUUGCAGAAUUCAGUGAAUCAUCGAAUCUUUGAACGCACAUUGCGCCUUCCGGUAUUCCGGGAGGCAUGCCUGUCCGAGCGUCAUCAAAAACCACUCAAGUAGUUUUGCUUGGUCAUGAAAGAAGAGUUUGCUUGCAAAUUCCCUUUCGAAAUUCAAUGGCGGAGAGUCUCAUGAUUCCGGCGUAGUAAUAACUUAUUCGCUUGGUCAUUGUAAUAAUCCUGCCUCAAACCCCCAAUUCUAGUGUUUGACCUCGGAUCAGGUAGGGAUACCCGCUGAACUUAAGCAUAUCAAUAAGCGGAGGAAAAGAAACCAACAGGGAUUGCCUUAGUAACUGCGAGUGAAGCGGCAAAAGCUCAAAUUUGAAAUCUGGUACCUUCGGUGCCCGAAUUGUAAUUUGGAGGCAUAUCUUCGGGGCUGGCGCUGUCCUAAGUUCCUUGGAACAGGACGUCAUAGAGGGUGAGAAUCCCGUGCCUGGAUG
RNAcentral lists this ribosomal RNA (721 nucleotides) under uncultured Pyronemataceae. RNAcentral describes it as "eukaryotic LSU rRNA". The stretch from base 489 to 721 matches the Rfam family "Eukaryotic large subunit ribosomal RNA", at positions 1 to 231 of the family's 3401-position model. The record is from RNAcentral. Lineage: Eukaryota; Fungi; Ascomycota; Pezizomycetes; Pezizales; Pyronemataceae.